UUUCCGUAGGUGAACCUGCGGAAGGAUCAUUAAUGAGUUGUCAUGGGGUUCGAUGCUGGCAGCCAAUUUUUGGAUGCAUGUGCUUGCCCUAACAAUCAUCUUCCAAACACCUGUGCACAUUUUUGAGGGAGUCUUGAGUUGGUUGCCGCUCUUGGGUGAUUUUCUCACAUUCCCAUAAAUCAUUAUACGCUAUUAACAAUGUUGAACGUGCUCUGUGCCGCAAGGCUAUUAAUAUAAUACAACUUUUAACAACGGAUCUCUUGGCUCUC
Molecule: unclassified non-coding RNA, 269 nt
Filed under: plant metagenome
Description: partial contains small subunit ribosomal RNA, internal transcribed spacer 1, and 5.8S ribosomal RNA
Source: RNAcentral